RNAcentral lists this ribosomal RNA (896 nucleotides) under uncultured bacterium. RNAcentral's name for it is "bacterial SSU rRNA". It matches the Rfam family "Bacterial small subunit ribosomal RNA", at positions 8 to 916 of the family's 1533-position model. The record is from RNAcentral.
AGAGUUUGAUCAUGGCUCAGGAUGAACGCUGGCGGCGUGCUUAACACAUGCAAGUCGAACGAUGAUCUCCAGCUUGCUGGGGGGAUUAGUGGCGAACGGGUGAGUAACACGUGAGUAACUGCCCUUGACUCUGGGAUAAGCCUGGGAAACUGGGUCUAAUACUGGAUAUGACCUUCCAUCGCAUGGUGGUUGGUGGAAAGCUUUUGUGGUUUUGGAUGGACUCGCGGCCUAUCAGCUUGUUGGUGGGGUAAUGGCCUACCAAGGCGACGACGGGUAGCCGGCCUGAGAGGGUGGACGGCCACACUGGGACUGAGACACGGCCCAGACUCCUACGGGAGGCAGCAGUGGGGAAUAUUGCACAAUGGGCGCAAGCCUGAUGCAGCGACGCCGCGUGAGGGAUGAAGGCCCUCGGGUUGUAAACCUCUUUCAGUAGGGAAGAAGCGAAAGUGACGGUACCUGCAGAAGAAGCGCCGGCUAACUACGUGCCAGCAGCCGCGGUAAUACGUAGGGCGCAAGCGUUAUCCGGAAUUAUUGGGCGUAAAGAGCUCGUAGGCGGUUUGUCGCGUCUGCCGUGAAAGUCCGGGGCUUAACUCCGGAUCUGCGGUGGGUACGGGCAGACUUGAGUGAUGUAGGGGAGACUGGAAUUCCUGGUGUAGCGGUGAAAUGCGCAGAUAUCAGGAGGAACACCGAUGGCGAAGGCAGGUCUCUGGGCAUUAACUGACGCUGAGGAGCGAAAGCAUGGGGAGCGAACAGGAUUAGAUACCCUGGUAGUCCAUGCCGUAAACGUUGGGCACUAGGUGUGGGGGACAUUCCACGUUUUCCGCGCCGUAGCUAACGCAUUAAGUGCCCCGCCUGGGGAGUACGGCCGCAAGGCUAAAACUCAAAGGAAUUGACGG